Molecule: long non-coding RNA, 4835 nt
Filed under: Sus scrofa (pig)
Lineage: Eukaryota; Metazoa; Chordata; Mammalia; Artiodactyla; Suidae
Description: lncRNA (ENSSSCG00050054016.1)
Source: RNAcentral
CCUUUGCUGUGCAAAAGCUUGUCAGUUUGUUUAGGUCCCAAUGGUUUAUUUCUGUUGCUUUGGGAGACUGACCUGAGAAAAUAUUCAUAAGGUUGAUAUUAGAGAAUGUUUUGCCUAUGUUCUCUUCUAGGCGUUUGAUGGUGUCUUGUCUUAUAUUCAAGUCUUUGAGCCAUUUUGAGUUUAUUUUCAUGCAUGGUGUGAAGGUGUGCUCUAGUUUCAUUGAUUUGCAUGCAGCCAUCCAGGUUUCCCAGCACCACUUACUGAAAAGACUAUCCUUUUUACAUUUUAUGUUUUUGCCUCCUUUGUCAAAGAUUAAUUGACCAUAAGUGUCAGGGUUUAUUUCUUGGUUCUCUAUUCUGUUCCACUGGUCUAUAUGUCUGUUUUGGUACCAGUACCACACUGUCUUAUGACUGUGGCUUUGUAAUAGUGCCUGAAGUCUGGGAGAGUUAUGCCUCCUGCCUGGUGUUUGUUUCUCAGGAUUGCUUUGGCAAUUCUGGGUCUUUUGUGGUCCCAUAUAAAUGUUUGGAUUGUUUGUUCUAGUUCUUUGAAAAAUGUCCUGGGUAAUUUGAUAGGGAUUGCAUUGAAUCUGUAGACUGCAUUUUUACAAUAUUAAUUUUUCCAACCCAGGAGCAUGGAAUAUAUUUCCAUUUUUUUACAUCUUCUUUAAUUUCCUUGAUUAAUGUCUUAUAGUUCUCAGCAUAUAUAUCUUUUACAUCCUUGGUCAGGUGUAUUCCCAGGUAUUUGAUUUUUUGGGGGUGCAAUUUUAAAGGAUAUUGUAUUUUUGUAUUCCUUUCUAAUAUUUCAUUGUUUGUAUAUAGAAAUGUGACUGAUUUCUGAAUGUUAAUCUUAUAUCCUGCUACUUUGCUGAAUUCAUCGACCAGUUCAAGUAGUUUUUGGGUUGAGUCCGUAGGGUUUUCUAUAUAUAUAGUAUCAUGUCAUCUGCACACAGUGAUAGUUUUACCUCUUCUCUUCCUAUUUGGAUGCCUUUUUUUUCUUUUAUUUUUCUGAUCGCUGUGGCUAGGACUUCCAAUACUAUGUUGAAUAAUAGUGGUGAGAAGGUACAUCCUUGUUUUGUUCUAGAUUUUAAUGGGAAGGCCUUCAGCUUUUCUCCACUGAGUAUUAUAUUUACUGUGGGUUUGUCAUAAAAGACUUUAAUUAUGUUAAGGUAUGUUCCCUCUAUACCCACUUCGGUAAGACUUUUGAUCAUGAAUAGACUUUGUCAAAAUGCUUUUUCUGCAUCUACUGAGUUGAUCAUGUGGUUUUUGACUUUUCUUUUGUUAAUGUGAUGUAUAACAUUGAUUGAUUUUUUUCUUUUUUGGUGGUAUCUUUAGUUUCAGAAUUAGGGUGAUGGUGGUGUCAUACUAUGUCUUUGGGAGUGUUCCUUCUUCUUCAACCUUUUGAAAAAGUUUAAGGAGGAUGGAUAUAAGUUCCUCUUUGUAUGUUUGGUAGAAUUCACCUAUGAAGCCAUCUGGUCCUGAGCUUUUAUUUGUAGGGAGUGUUUUUAUGGCAUGUUCAAUUUCAUUUCUAAUGAUCAUUCUGUUCAGUUGAUCUAUUUCUUCUUAAUUCAGUUUUGGCAGGCUGUAAGUCUCUAGGAAGUUGUCCAUAACUUGUAGAUUGUCAAAUUUGUUGGCAUACAAUUGUUCAUAGUAUUCUUUCACGGUUUUUUGUAUUUCUAUACUAUCUGUUGUGACUUCUCCUUUUUCAUUUCUGAUUUUGUUUAUUUGGCUUUUUUCUCUCCUCUUCUUGGUGAGUCUAGCCAGAGGUUUGUCAAUUUUGUUUACCUUUUCAAAGAUCCAGCUCUUGGUUUUAUUGAUUUCUUCUAUUGUUUUUUUAAUCUCUAUUUUAUUGAUUUCCUCUUUGAUCUUUAUGAUUUCCUUCCUUCUGCUGACUCUAGGUUUUUCUUGUUCUUCUUUUUCUAAUUCAUUUAGGUGUUGGUUUAAGUUGUCAAUUUGAGAUUUUUCUUCUUUUUUGAGGAAGGCCUGCAUUGGUAUGAACUUCCCUCUGAGCACUGCUUUUGUGGCAUCCCAUAGAUUUUGAGUGGAUGUGUCUUCAUUAUCAUUUGUCUCAAGGUAUUUUUUAAUUUCCUUCUUGAUUUCCUCAUUGACCCUAUUGGUUUUUUAGUAGCUGUUUAGUAUCCACAUAGUCAGUUUUUUUCUCAUUUCUUUUCCUGUCAUUGAUUUCUAGUUUCAUGCCAUUGUGGUCAGAGAAGAUACUUGAAAUAAUUUCUAUAUUCUUAAAUUUGUUGAGGUUAGCUUUGUGCCCCAAUAUGUGAUCAAUUCUUGAGAAUGUUCCAUGUGCACUUGAGAAGAAUGUAUAUUCUGAUUUUUUUUGGAUGUAAUGUCCUGAAAAUACCGAUUAAGUCUAACUUUUCUAUUGUGUCCUUUAGGAUAUCUGUUGCCUUAUUGAUUUGCUGUCUAGAGGAUCUGUCCAUUGUUGUGAGUGGGGUGUUAAAGUCUCCUACUAUUAUUUUAUUCCCAUUGAUUUCUCAUUUUAUGUCUGUUAGUAUUUGUUGUAGGUAUCUGGGUGCUCCUAUAUUAGGGGCAUAUAUAUUGAAAAUUGUAAUAUCCUCUUCUUGAAUAAUCAUUUAACCAUUAAAUAGUGUCCUUCUUUGUCUUUCUUAAUGGUCUUCAUUUUAAAGUCUAUUUUGUCUAUUUUUUCAGAUAUGAGUAUUGCAACUCCUGCUUUUCUGUCUUGUCUAUUGCCAUGAAAUAUCUUUUCCCAUCCCCUCACUUUCAAUCUAUAUGUGUCCUUUGCUCUAAGAUGAGUUUCUUGUAGGAAGUGGAUUGAAGGAUUUGCUUUUUUAUCCAAUCUUCCACUCUGUGUCUUUUGAUUGGAACAUUUACUCCAUUGACAUUUAAGUUGAUUAAUGAAAGAUACAUAUUUAUUGCCAUUUUAAACCUUGUUUUCUGGUUGAUUCUGUUUCUCUUUUCUUCUUUUCUUUUUUGGGUUGGAUGGUUUCCAUUUAUUUUAUGCUUGAGUACUUUUCAGUUUUUGUGAAUGUAAUGUUUGGUUUUGAUUUGUGAUUGCCCUGUUUUUUAAGCAUGUUAAGCCCUUCCUAUAUCUGCUUGCUUUUGCCUGAUAGUCAUAUAGGCUCAGACACGUCAUUAAAAUAAAAAAAAAGAAUCUAUAUUUUCUUACUUUCCUUCCUCACAUUGUAUGAUUUUGAUGUCUUUUUUUUUAAACAUGUUAAUGUUUAGAUCUGUAUGCUGGCUUAUUUAAGUGAUUGCUUUCCAAUUGUGGUUUCCUCUAUCAUAAUUCUUCUCUUUCUCUUUUUUUUCCUCUCUCUCUCUCUCUCUCUUUUUUAAUUUAGAGAAGCCCUUUCAGUAUUUCUUUUAGAAUGGGUUUAGUAUUGCUGUGCUCUUUUAGCUUUUGUUUAUUGGAGAAUUCUAUAUUUCCCCUUCUAAUUUAAAUGAUAUUCUCACUGGAUAGAGUAUGCUAAGUUUCAUUUUUUUUUUCCUUUCAGCACUGUAAAUAUAUCUUGCCACUCCCUUCUGGUCUGUAGUGUUUCUGUAGAGAAAUCAGCUGAUUGCCUUAUGGGGGUUCCCUUAUAAUUAAUGCUUUGCUUUUCUCUUGCUGCCUUUAGAAUUCUCUCUUUAUCUUUCACUUUUGCUAUUUUUAUUAUAACAUGGGUUUUAGCUUGCUUGGGUUCAGCUUGCUUGGGGUCCUCUGUGCUUCCUGUAUCUUGAUAUCAGUAUCCUUUAGAUUUGGAAAGUUUUCAGCCAUAAUUCCUUCAAAUGUAUUUUCAAUCCCCCUUUCUUUGCCUUUUUCUUUUCCUUCUGGAAUUCCUAUUAUGUGUAGAUUGGCCAGCUUUAUAUUAUCCCAUAGGUCUCUUUUAUUGCUUUGAUGUUUUUUCCAUUUGGUUUUCUGUCUGCUGUCCUGAUUAACUGAUUUCCAUUAUUUUGUCUUCCACGUCACUAAUUUGUUCCUGUGCAUUAUUCAUUCUGUUCUUUAUUGCUUUAAGCUCAGUUUGUAUCUCUGCAAAUGAGUUUUCUGGUUUUUCUUGGCUCCUCCUUAUAUUUUCUAGUUCCUUUCUAAAGGUAUCUACAUUACUGUUAAUAUCUUCUCUUAAUUCCUUCAGAAUUUUCAAUACCUCCCUUUUUAACUCUAUGUCUGACAGACUACAGAGGUCUGUUUUGUUGUUAGGUGAAUUCUCCUGUUCCUUUAACUGGGAAUGGUUUCUUGAUUCUUCAUCUUGCUUGUGUUUUUCUUUUACUGUGCGUUUGGGGAAGCCAAACUCUGGUCUUUUAAGUCUACUUCUAUGCAAGAAUACCCCUUUGUAUUUUUGGGGGGUUACUAUUUAUUUUUGGUGUGGGAGUUUGAAUAUUUGCUGUCUCUUUCUUCAGUGUGAGCAGGCUGUUGUUCCCAGGAUGCUCAGUGUGUUUUCAGGGAGAAGGAGGCAAUGGGUAGGGCCAGCAGUCAGUGCCUGGUCAUUGGGCUCUCAAUAGCAGGAAGGACCUGCAGGAAGGUGGCACAGACUACUCCUAGUUGCAGGGCCCUGGGAAGUGGUAAUAAGUUCUAGGCAGAUCUUCAAGGUGACCAGAGCAUUUGUCAGUAGCAAUAGUAGGGUGCAUGAGUUCCCAGGGGAGUGAGAGCAACCACAGCUUGUGUUUGAUUGCAAUGCCCUCCUCUGUGGUGACUGGAACUGCAGGUGGUGCCUGUUCAGCGACCCCUGUUGGGAGCAGGCCAUGACCAUCUCUAAAGUAGUGAUAACUGCAGUGGUUUGCCCCCACCACCUGUAGACCAUGCAUGAAGCAAACCGUCUCACUCAGCCCACAUACAAGGUGUUGUAAAGGGUGCUCCUAGUUGCAGGAUCCUGGGAAGUGACAGAGAUCAGG